UAAAAGGCGAUGAAGUGAACAGAGUAGAUCAUCCUAUCUUCUAGAGAGUUCCUGGCUGGUGUAAAGGAUCAGAUAGCGAUUUACGAUUCAACAUGGAGCUGAAUGCUGAAAAGAAAUGAGUAGGCAUAUCCGGGCACACCCGUUAACGUGUUAGAGUAUGAACAUACCAGGUAUGCGUACUUGAUGAGGUCUGUUUCGUGAGGAACAGGCGAAGAAGAGGUGGAACCACGAAGCCAAUGCUCUCGUCCUCUAU
Molecule: non-coding RNA, 253 nt
Filed under: Clostridiales bacterium
Lineage: Bacteria; Bacillati; Bacillota; Clostridia; Eubacteriales
Description: T-box sequence
Rfam family: T-box leader
About the family: Uncharged tRNA acts as the effector for transcription antitermination of genes in the T-box leader family. T-boxes are found upstream of many aminoacyl-tRNA synthetase genes and some amino acid biosynthetic genes usually in Gram-positive bacteria.
Source: RNAcentral